RNAcentral lists this unclassified non-coding RNA (363 nucleotides) under Cetrelia alaskana. RNAcentral describes it as "partial 28S-18S ribosomal RNA intergenic spacer". Lineage: Eukaryota; Fungi; Ascomycota; Lecanoromycetes; Lecanorales; Parmeliaceae. The record is from RNAcentral.
AGCUAUCAUUUUCCUAAGACAUUCGGGGGCCAACCAAAGCCGAUAUCCGAGGCGAACUCGCUAGUUGCUUCGCUGCACGGCGGGAGAGCUUAUGUGAUCGGCAACCGGUAUCCUCCAGCUGAGGGGCGUAUGGUGCAGUGUGGGCCGGCGUUCAGCGUCGCGAAUCCCCAUGUCUGCCCCGGACCGUUCCUUGGGAAACUCAGGGGGGGCAAUUGGAUGGCUCGUGGAACCUCUCGGUGACCUCGGUCCCGGGGGCUUUCCGGGCUGGGCGUCGGGCUCCGGCUCGGCCUCCAACCUUGUAAAUAUCCUGAUCACCCCUUCGGGGGUGGGGUGUGACUAGGCGUGAACGCUCCUCGAGGGUGU